Non-coding RNA from Pristionchus pacificus, 63 nucleotides. Lineage: Eukaryota; Metazoa; Nematoda; Chromadorea; Rhabditida; Neodiplogasteridae. The record is from Rfam.
UCUUCAUUUCACGCGCGCUCUCUCACCGGUCAGAGAGGCGAGAGAGUACGCGAAAUGAAGAGA